GUCCACGCCGUAAACGAUGAGAACUAGACGUCGGAGGGGUCUGCUCUUCGGUGUCGUAGCUAACGCGCUAAGUUCUCCGCCUGGGGAGUACGGCCGCAAGGUUGAAACUCAAAGGAAUUGACGGGGCCGCACAAGCGGUGGAGCAUGUGGUUUAAUUUCGAUGCAACGCGAAGAACCUUACCUGGUCUUGACAUCCUCGGAACCCUACCAGAGAUGUGGGGGUGGCCUUCGGGAGGCCGAGAGACAGGUGGCUGCAUGGCUGUCGU
This 266-nucleotide ribosomal RNA is filed under the name uncultured bacterium. Its description in RNAcentral is "partial 16S ribosomal RNA". It matches the Rfam family "Bacterial small subunit ribosomal RNA", at positions 793 to 1055 of the family's 1533-position model. The record is from RNAcentral.